Molecule: long non-coding RNA, 917 nt
Organism: Dermacentor albipictus
Lineage: Eukaryota; Metazoa; Arthropoda; Arachnida; Ixodida; Ixodidae
Source: RefSeq, a predicted model, not a curated record
AGUAACUGGUGUGGAAGAAAUUGGAAAGAAGAACGACGCCGAGGCCAUGCUCUCGUGCGCUGCCGCACGAGGCUCAGACGGCAUAUGUAAAACUUGCUCGUGCUUUAGAACACGGCGCUGCACCGGUCAACGCACCCAACGUCAUCGGAGUUAACCGUCUCCUUCUCGGCUGCGGAUCCACAUUACCACUAUAGCAUCACUGUCCUACAAGGCGCCUUCGUCGAUGUUACUCGUCCCACGUUCAGAAGCGGCCAAAGGCGACGACCCUUCCAUGCCCAGCAGCUUGGCCAUGGAGGACGCUCUUCCAGCGUACCCAGACCGUGCGGACAAGGACGAGGAACCUGCCUGCGACAUCUGCGCAAUACAUCGGUGGAGCACCGAGUGCGACCUGCUCACUCAUAUGGAUGUCAAGGGCACCCUGUAUCACCGCAGCACCGAGCAAGCAAGACGCACCGUGCAUGGAGUCCGGCACCACGCAGUAGUCGUAUCCAGGGACGCCGGACGGCUCCUGAUGUACAGGUUGUUUCCACCCAGUGAAGCUGGCAGUGCAGUGGUGCACGCCCGGAACGCGGCAGAACGACGACAGGAUGCGCCCGACGGUUCCUACAGCGUCGCAUCUACGGCGGGCGUCUUCUAGGAAGCGCCCUGUCUCGGCUGUUGCUGCAGAACAACAGCAGGGAGCCGCACAGUCACGACGGCUGUGGUUAUUCAUGGACCAAGCGAAGCAUUGAGUAGAGGCCGCAAAGGGUUUAACGACGCCCUUUCGCUGCCUCAUUGACAAUGAAGCAGCGAAGCGGCGGCCCCGCUGGCGGCAAGCCCGAGCUUUUUUGUUUUUAAAUUUUUACGAUUUUUUUAAAAGCAAUUGUGUGAAUGUAAUAUGGUUGCAGGCAUUUGAAAUACACUUUAUCAUUAUUGAA